Molecule: ribosomal RNA, 1250 nt
Filed under: metagenome
Description: bacterial SSU rRNA
Rfam family: Bacterial small subunit ribosomal RNA
Source: RNAcentral
AGAGUUUGAUCAUGGCUCAGGACGAACGCUGGCGGCGCGCCUAACACAUGCAAGUAGAACGAGCGAGAGAGAGCUUGCUUUCUCGAGCGAGUGGCGAACGGGUGAGUAACGCGUGAGGAACCUGCCUCAAAGAGGGGGACAACAGUUGGAAACGACUGCUAAUACCGCAUAAGCCCACGGCUCGGCAUCGAGCAGAGGGAAAAGGAGCAAUCCGCUUUGAGAUGGCCUCGCGUCCGAUUAGCUAGUUGGUGAGGUAAUGGCCCACCAAGGCGACGAUCGGUAGCCGGACUGAGAGGUUGAACGGCCACAUUGGGACUGAGACACGGCCCAGACUCCUACGGGAGGCAGCAGUGGGGAAUAUUGCACAAUGGGGGAAACCCUGAUGCAGCGACGCCGCGUGGAGGAAGAAGGUCUUCGGAUUGUAAACUCCUGUUGUUGAGGAAGAUAAUGACGGUACUCAACAAGGAAGUGACGGCUAACUACGUGCCAGCAGCCGCGGUAAAACGUAGGUCACAAGCGUUGUCCGGAAUUACUGGGUGUAAAGGGAGCGCAGGCGGGAAGACAAGUUGGAAGUGAAAUCCAUGGGCUCAACCCAUGAACUGCUUUCAAAACUGUUUUUCUUGAGUAGUGCAGAGGUAGGCGGAAUUCCCGGUGUAGCGGUGGAAUGCGUAGAUAUCGGGAGGAACACCAGUGGCGAAGGCGGCCUACUGGGCACCAACUGACGCUGAGGCUCGAAAGUGUGGGUAGCAAACAGGAUUAGAUACCCUGGUAGUCCACACUGUAAACGAUGAUUACUAGGUGUUGGAGGAUUGACCCCUUCAGCGCCGCAGUUAACACAAUAAGUAAUCCACCUGGGGAGUACGACCGCAAGGUUGAAACUCAAAGGAAUUGACGGGGGCCCGCACAAGCAGUGGAGUAUGUGGUUUAAUUCGACGCAACGCGAAGAACCUUACCAAGUCUUGACAUCCUGCGACGCACAUAGAAAUAUGUGUUUCCUUCGGGACGCAGAGACAGGUGGUGCAUGGUUGUCGUCAGCUCGUGUCGUGAGAUGUUGGGUUAAGUCCCGCAACGAGCGCAACCCUUAUGGUCAGUUACUACGCAAGAGGACUCUGGCCAGACUGCCGUUGACAAAACGGAGGAAGGUGGGGAUGACGUCAAAUCAUCAUGCCCUUUAUGACUUGGGCUACACACGUACUACAAUGGCGUUAAACAAAGAGAAGCAAGACCGCGAGGUGGAGCAAAACUCAGAA